CCAGCCUUGUACUCCCCUUUGACAGGUAAUGUCUGCCAAUCUGUUUGUGGGAAUAAUAUUAUAUCAGCUUGUUCGCUGAUAAAACACAUUAUAUCAGCAGACGAGUGUGACGACGAACCGGAUUUAUUAUGUCCAUGAAGUGGUAACAAGACGUUGUUGAGUGAACGUGGCCGACGACCCCUUCUCAUUGUGGAGACUCUGUAUUGAAACAUACUGCCUUCGACCUGUUUGAGUUGUGGAGAGAUUCUAUCUAGUCUGCAAAUUUAAACAGCUCGAAGCAGAACGGAACGGCACCACGGGGGAUGAUGUAACCAGUGAUUGAUCGGUGAAAUGCGUGCCCAACUCCGCUUGUACAUUUCACAUGGAAGACUUCAUCAGAUGCGCCUUGGCCAGCAUAGAAUACAGUUCGCCUCACUAUUCCAGAGUGAAGCUACCAACCCUUGCAGCGCAGACAACACAAUACUCGUGCUCGUUGGCAGCCUAAUGGUGACAGCAUGGACACGCCCCACGUUCAAUUCCCCACAUGGGUACAUUAUGUGAAACCUAUUCUAUUCCCCCGACGUGAUAUUGCUGGUAUAUUCACUCAUGCUUGUUGGUUUCCCCAAAGUGACAAAGGUCUGACAUGCGCUUUUGCAUUGCAUUCCCAGAAAUUGAAAAUCUUGUUCAAAAUAAUAUCUAACUUACCUCACUCACUCGCUCAUCAAUUUAAUCUGAAAUUGUGGCGGCGGGGUGGUUAAAUCGUCCGCUCGU
Haliotis rubra (blacklip abalone) is the source of this 750-nucleotide long non-coding RNA. RefSeq lists it as uncharacterized. The transcript has 3 exons. The record is from RefSeq and is a predicted model, not a curated record. Lineage: Eukaryota; Metazoa; Mollusca; Gastropoda; Lepetellida; Haliotidae.